GACAGAGGUGCCGAGCGUUAGGCGGAAUCACUGGGCUUAAAGCGUGUGUAGGCGGACCGUUAAGUACCUUGUGAAAUCCCACGGCUCACCCGUGGAACGGCUGGGUAGACUGGCGGUCUUGGGCCACCUAGGGGCAGAUGGAACAGACGGUGGAGCGGUGAAAUGCGUAGAUAUCGUCUGGAACGCCGAUGGUGAAAACAGUCUGCUGGGGGUGUGCCGACGCUGAGACACGAAAGCCAGGGGAGCGAACGGG
Molecule: ribosomal RNA, 253 nt
Filed under: uncultured bacterium
Lineage: Bacteria
Description: partial 16S ribosomal RNA
Rfam family: Bacterial small subunit ribosomal RNA
Source: RNAcentral